CAAUAGCGUAUAUUAAAGUUGUUGCAGUUAAAAAGCUCGUAGUUGGAUUUCUGGUGGGAGCGAUCGGUCUGGCGCUUAGCGCGAGUACUUGCAUCGUCUCCGGCCAUCCUUGGGGAGAGUCUGUCUGGCAUUAGGUUGUCGGGCAGAGGAUCUUCAUCGUUUACUGUGAAAAAAUUAGAGUGUUCAAAGCAGGCUUAUGCCGUUGAAUAUAUUAGCAUGGAAUAAUAAGAUAGGACCUUGGUACUAUUUUGUUGGUUUGCGCACCAAAGUAAUGAUUAAUAGGGACAGUUGGGGGUAUUCGUAUUCCGUUGUCAGAGGUGAAAUUCUUGGAUUUACGGAAGACGAACUACUGCGAAAGCAUUUACCAAGGAUGUUUUCAUUAA
RNAcentral lists this ribosomal RNA (383 nucleotides) under uncultured eukaryote. RNAcentral describes it as "partial 18S ribosomal RNA". It matches the Rfam family "Eukaryotic small subunit ribosomal RNA", at positions 592 to 976 of the family's 1831-position model. The record is from RNAcentral.